GAUGUCGGAUAUUGGUUUAAAGGAAGCACCAAUCGUUAAGGUUACCUGACAGAAUUCUGUGAGCUCCAUGGAAGUGAGUAUAUGGAAAUGCUCAUGCACGUUUCCGUUCGAUGGUUGAGCCUGGAGAAAUGUUAUCCUGCAGCAGUAUGAGCCACUGGCCAGCUAAUUGAAGUCAUUAAAUGAUAAACAGCCAAGGUUCAUGAGGCUUAUGGAGGCAUUCUCUGACCCAAUUACAGAGGUGUACCUGCUCUUCUAUCAAGCAACGUUUCCAGUCUUCUCCACCUUCAACCUCCUCCUCCAGAGAGAGAAGUCAUCCAUCUUCCGUCUACAUG
Centropristis striata (black sea bass) is the source of this 332-nucleotide long non-coding RNA. RefSeq lists it as uncharacterized. The transcript has 3 exons. NCBI's taxonomy places the organism in Eukaryota, Metazoa, Chordata, Actinopteri, Perciformes, Serranidae. The record is from RefSeq and is a predicted model, not a curated record.